RNAcentral lists this ribosomal RNA (477 nucleotides) under uncultured Campylobacterota bacterium. Its description in RNAcentral is "bacterial SSU rRNA". It matches the Rfam family "Bacterial small subunit ribosomal RNA", at positions 74 to 572 of the family's 1533-position model. Lineage: Bacteria; Pseudomonadati; Campylobacterota. The record is from RNAcentral.
CCUAGCUUGCUAGGUGGAUUAGUGGCGCACGGGUGAGUAAUAUAUAGAUAACGUGCCUCUUAGUCUGGGAUAGCCAUUGGAAACGAUGAUUAAUACUAGAUACUCCUUCUAACUCUAAUGUUAGUCGGGAAAGUUUUUCGCUAAGAGAUCGGUCUAUAUCCCAUCAGCUAGUUGGUAGUGUAAGAGACUACCAAGGCAAUGACGGGUAGCGGGUUUGAGAGGAUGAUCCGCCACACUGGUACUGAGACACGGACCAGACUCCUACGGGAGGCAGCAGUGAGGAAUAUUGCACAAUGGAGGAAACUCUGAUGCAGCAACGCCGCGUGGAGGAUGACGCAUUUCGGUGUGUAAACUCCUUUUAUAUGUCAAGAAAAUGACGGUAGCAUAUGAAUAAGCACCGGCUAACUCCGUGCCAGCAGCCGCGGUAAUACGGAGGGUGCAAGCGUUAUUCGGAAUCACUGGGCGUAAAGGACGCGU